This 423-nucleotide ribosomal RNA is filed under the name Lepidodesma languilati. Its description in RNAcentral is "partial 28S ribosomal RNA". Lineage: Eukaryota; Metazoa; Mollusca; Bivalvia; Unionida; Unionidae. The record is from RNAcentral.
UGGACCGCAUACGUCGACCCGGGGGAUUCAACCAGGCCGUUGGGCACGGGACGCGCGGGGGUUAUGCUGAGCUGUAAAGCCAGUGCCUUCGCGAGGGUCUCCGGGCGGACUGGUGCACUUUCCUCGGGUCGAUUGCCACGACCGGCUCUCCGUGCGGCCAAAAGCCUGUCGCUGGGAAGGUGACCGACGGCCCCAGUGCCGGCGGUGUUAUAGCCCAGCUCGUUCGUUGUGCUCGUCGGAGGGCCGAGGAAGUGUUGCCGUUUCUCAUCACCCUCUGGCCAUCCUUGCUCGUCACGACUGGGGUGGACUGCUUCGUCAGUGCUCUCCCGACCGCGAGCGUAGGAAGGGUCGGUACGGUGCGAGAAGCUUCGGGCCAGUGGCGAAUCGGUCGGUCCUCCACCCGACCCGUCUUGAAACACGGAC